GUAGCGAACAGGAUUAGAUACCCUGGUAGUCCACGCCGUAAACGAUGAUUACUAAGUGUUGGAGGGUUUCCGCCCUUCAGUGCUGCAGCUAACGCAUUAAGCAAUCCGCCUGGGGAGUACGACCGCAAGGUUGAAACUCAAAAGAAUUGACGGGGGCCCGCACAAGCGGUGGAGCAUGUGGUUUAAUUCGAAGCUACGCGAAGAACCUUACCAGGUCUUGACAUCUUUUGACCGUUUAAGAGAUAGGGGUUUCCCUUCGGGGGCAAAAUGACAGGUGGUGCAUGGUUGUCGUCAGCUCGUGUCGUGAGAUGUUGGGUUAAGUCCCGCAACGAGCGCAACCCUUAUUAUUAGUUGCCAUCAUUAAGUUGGGCACUCUAGCGAGACUGCCGGUGACAAACCGGAGGAAGGUGGGGAUGACGUCAAAUCAUCAUGCCCCUUAUGAC
This 443-nucleotide ribosomal RNA is filed under the name Pediococcus pentosaceus. RNAcentral describes it as "bacterial SSU rRNA". It matches the Rfam family "Bacterial small subunit ribosomal RNA", at positions 765 to 1208 of the family's 1533-position model. The record is from RNAcentral. Lineage: Bacteria; Bacillati; Bacillota; Bacilli; Lactobacillales; Lactobacillaceae.